ACUCCUCUGUUGCCUUGGUGGUUGUGUUUUCUGCAUUCCAUUUUUCUAUCUUCUUCGUUCUCUUUUUUUUCUUCUUCUUUUU
Molecule: small RNA, 82 nt
Filed under: Arabidopsis thaliana (thale cress)
Lineage: Eukaryota; Viridiplantae; Streptophyta; Magnoliopsida; Brassicales; Brassicaceae
Description: ATSL306720
Source: RNAcentral